GUUAGAAUUCUGUCCUCUGCCUUUCUGGAAACUCGGAGGCCUCGGCCUUGCGGGUCGGGAUGCGCGUGUUUGUGGUCCGGAGUGUAGACUUUCGGGAAGGACAGCCAUGAGGCUGCAUGUGUUCGGUGCGUGGAUACACCAUGAAUUUUCCUGAUAGUUGGCAGGCGUGGAAUAUUCUUGUGUUCACUCGAGCCCCUGACUUCAGGCCCUUCUAGAGCGGCUGGCAGCCCCGUCUCAUCCCUCCGUUCCCCCACCACUUGGCGUCCUGGCUACUGGAGCUGUUUAGUCGCUGGAGAAAACCCUGAAGAAACGUGUGUUUGUCUGCGGUGGCUGGGCGGGGCUCUGAGGAGGUAGGGACUGCAUUUGCUCUGCUGCUUGUCAUAGGGUGUCGCAGGCCUCUUUUGCAUACUGGCAGUGACAAGUUGAGGCUUGUUCAUUUGACACAGUCCUGUGGUCACAGCGAAUCUCUCUAAAGCUCUAACCAGUGGAGAAGGGGGUUGUAUGGAUCCUCUGAACUCUGAGUGGGACUUCCUGAAAGAUUUAUUAGGAGAAAAACCUUCCUGGAAACAGCAGAAGAACAGACACAGAAUCGCUGGCUGGGCAGAGCCUCGUGGCCUGGUCUCCACUAUUUGGGAGCUGUUACAUCUUGGAGAUGGGGGACCCACAGCUCAGAGAGAUUAAAAAUAUCCCCACCCUCACCGCCAGGUCACACAGCUAAGGAGUGGCAGAGCCACUGGGUUUUGGACCUGGGCCAUCUGACUCCCUGGACCUACUCCUAGAAGUUAGAGGACAGUGAAACUAAAAGCAAGCAAAGAAUGCUUCUCGGCCUGGGGCAGGAGGAUCAAGUGUGCUCUCCAGUCUGCCCUCCUCACCCUGGCACAGAUGGAAACCCCAAACCUUGUGUGAAGACACUGCCUGCUCUGGCUGCCGGCCUGUUCCACUAACACUGGGGUCAAGAAGCCAUGGGAGGGGGGCUCCAGUGUUUGGAAAAUUCUGGACGGGGGACGGGGGUCUGGGGAGCGGGGCCUCUGGGGCCCGCGCAGAGCCUCAGUCUUGGUGUGAAAUCUAUGGGCAUUUGCAAAACGCUACAUCCAGGCGUCCUGCCUGGCUUUGUGACCAGCGUAUAAUCACUGUGAACAUUCAGAGCAGAUGGGAGACAGAGCUCUUUCUGCAAAUCAUCACAUACCCUCCCCCUCAUCCCCUGCCCCCGCCCCCCAAACUAUCUGAGUACCUGUCUCUCUCCUGGGUGUGUUUUGCUCCUGUAGCAGCCCUAACAAUACAAAGAUUGUGGUGGCCCCUCUCCCAACCCUGUCAUUAAAAACAAAAACAGUGCCAGCCCAUAAACACAAGAUUCACAUACACGAGGCCAAAAUGGUCUCAGUCAUUUUUUAAUUCCAGAAUUCUGAAUGUUUUUCUUCGAUUUUCUCUUCCUCUUUUUUCUGAGGGGGGCAGGCAGGGGUAUGGGGUGUUGUUUUGCUGGUGCCUGGUGGGUAAUCUGAGCCCCAGGGU
Molecule: long non-coding RNA, 1509 nt
Organism: Physeter macrocephalus (sperm whale)
Lineage: Eukaryota; Metazoa; Chordata; Mammalia; Artiodactyla; Physeteridae
Exons: 4
Source: RefSeq, a predicted model, not a curated record